This 1560-nucleotide long non-coding RNA is filed under the name Homo sapiens (human). Its description in RNAcentral is "lncRNA POU3F2 adjacent neural key regulator (LNCPNKY)". Lineage: Eukaryota; Metazoa; Chordata; Mammalia; Primates; Hominidae. The record is from RNAcentral.
AGGCGCCAGGGGCCCGGUUGGCGCGAACGCCGGGUUCCGAGCACCCUGGGCUUCCUUGUCUGCCUCCCAGCGCGGCACCUCUUCGGGGCUCCCGAAACCUGAGCUCUCGCUGGUUUUAGGUCCAGACUGGGGCCUCUCCACCGGUUCCUCCCCCGCCCCGGGCUCUGGGGCCCAUUCUUUGGGCUGACCCUGUCAGGGCAGAGUCCGCGCGUCUGCCUGCCAUUCUCCGCCCGCAUAAAAGCACGUUGAAGGUGUCUCGGGCAGACACCUCCAGGUUUUGAAUCAGUUUAUUCCCUUUCACUGUUCAAAGCAGCUGUUCAAAUACACAGGCUGCUUACGUUGACGUGGAGAGGAUUUCAAACAACGCUAAAAUGCUUUGAACUGACAAGGUGUCUUGAUAUCUCCCUCACUCCAUCCAGCACAGCUCCUCGAGAUCACUCGCUAGGACAAUGGCUGAGCAGGCGAUUCGUGCGGGCCUCGCCACCUCGGGGCGCGGACUGCGGGGUGUCCUAAGCCCCUUCCGCAAGGACAGGAUGGAGGCACCUGUAAGGAGAUGCUGGCGCCACCCCAGCUUCUCCCAGGUCCGGAGGAACCUCUACUCAGUCAAUACCCUGAGCUGGACUUGUCUGAAGAAACGGAGCCGACUCCCUCUUGCCGGGGUGCGCUGAGUGGAGGGGAAACAUCCUCGAAUAACAGAACUACACCAAAAAGACACCCAUGUUAUCUCUCACACUUUCACACUCCUCGAGAUAGUGAGCCGGACCUGGGUCUUAGUAGCACCCAGUACCUUGACACAAACCUCCCAAAUUUCCACCUGAGUAACAGUUAUGGGGUCAGUCCAUGCACUGUAACUUGAACUCUAAUUUAUUAACUAUUUCAUCUAGUAAACACACUCACACCAUAUAUAAAAUAGCAUUUAUUUAUUUCUAUAUACCAGGAGUUGGCAGAAAACCCACCGUGACCACUCCCAUACAUUGAGCUGGAGGCACACAAUUACUAAAACAGAGGUGAAAUGGUAUUCAUUUGAUCUUAAUUUUUUCUUAUUUAUGUAGUCCCAGGAUAAUAGAAAUCAGGAAACAAAAGAAAACAAAGAAUUUUCUGAGGAGAUGGCCAUUGGGGGAGUGGAGGUAGCAGCUGGUUUAAACCUAAGUAAAACUAGAAAAAGAAACUGCUGUUUCCUUUUUCUUAUAUCCACCUUAGAGGAUCAUGUUUGAACGUCCCUACUCCUCCUCCUCUUUUUAAAAAGCCUUGUCUCAGUCAUUCAUUCCUGUGCUUCCUGCUCUUCUGCUAGACCCCAGCAGCUGUUUGAUUUGGUGAGGCCCCCCUCCAACCUCUGAGUGGAACUUCUUUUCUAAGGGCCUGCAGAAUGUCAAAACUGAGGCUCUGGCUUCGGAGCUAGAGCUUUGAACAGCCAAUCCACACAAAAAGGCAGCUGGCUGCUUUAAUGAAAACUGCUAUAAAGCUUCAAGAACUUUAGCCUUGGGGGAUGCAUUUAUAAGGAACAUGGAAAAUGCAUUUCCAAGUUGCUGGUUCUUGGGAGAGACAUAAUAAACAUUUACC